This 449-nucleotide ribosomal RNA is filed under the name uncultured bacterium. RNAcentral describes it as "partial 16S ribosomal RNA". It matches the Rfam family "Bacterial small subunit ribosomal RNA", at positions 29 to 523 of the family's 1533-position model. The record is from RNAcentral.
AACGAACGCUGGCGGCAGGCCUAACACAUGCAAGUCGAACGCCCUAGCAAUAGGGAGUGGCAGACGGGUGAGUAACGCGUGGGAACGUGCCUUUCGGUUCGGAAUAACUCAGGGAAACUUGAGCUAAUACCGGAUACGCCCUUCGGGGGAAAGAUUUAUUGCCGAAAGAUCGGCCCGCGUCCGAUUAGCUAGUUGGUGAGGUAAAGGCUCACCAAGGCGACGAUCGGUAGCUGGUCUGAGAGGAUGAUCAGCCACACUGGGACUGAGACACGGCCCAGACUCCUACGGGAGGCAGCAGUGGGGAAUAUUGGACAAUGGGCGCAAGCCUGAUCCAGCCAUGCCGCGUGAGUGAUGAAGGCCCUAGGGUUGUAAAGCUCUUUCGCCAGGGACGAUAAUGACGGUACCUGGAUAAGAAGCCCCGGCUAACUUCGUGCCAGCCGCCGCCGUAA